ACUACGGGUGGCAGCAGUGAGGAAUAUUGGUCAAUGGCCGAGAGGCUGAACCAGCCAAGUCGCGUGAGGGAAGACGGCCCUACGGGUUGUAAACCUCUUUUGUCGGGGAGCAAAGCGAGUCACGUGUGACUCAUUGAGAGUACCCGAAGAAACAGCAUCGGCUAACUCCGUACCAGCAGCCGCGGUAAUACGGAGGAUGCGAGGGUUAUCCGGAUUUAUUGGGUUGAAAGGGUGCGAAGGCGGAGGUGCAAGUCAGCGGUCAAAUGUCGGGGCUCAACCCCGUACUGCCGUUGAAACUGCAUCCCUUGAGUGCGCGAGAAGUAUGCGGAAUGCGUGGUGUAGCGGUGAAAUGCAUAGAUAUCACGCAGAACUCCGAUUGCGAAGGCAGCAUACCGGCGCGCAACUGACGCUCAUGCACGAAAGCGUGGGUAUCGAACAGGAUUAGAUACCCCUGUAGUC
RNAcentral lists this ribosomal RNA (459 nucleotides) under uncultured bacterium. RNAcentral describes it as "partial 16S ribosomal RNA". It matches the Rfam family "Bacterial small subunit ribosomal RNA", at positions 338 to 795 of the family's 1533-position model. The record is from RNAcentral.